Chelonoidis abingdonii (Abingdon island giant tortoise) is the source of this 1468-nucleotide non-coding RNA. The record is from RefSeq and is a predicted model, not a curated record. Lineage: Eukaryota; Metazoa; Chordata; Testudines; Testudinidae.
GAGCACUGCUGUGGAUUCGCUGGUGUCCUGUCUCCUUGGAAACCGACACCAAUUCCUGCUGCUGCUGCUGCUGUUGGCCGUAUGCUGCUGAUCCAGGGAUUCCAAAGCCCUUCACAGGCUCAUGAAACAAUGCUUCUCCUACCACAGCCACCUCUGGGAUGGAACACGCCAGAGAGUAACAGUUUCCCAAAAUGGACUGAUAUGAUCAUGAAUGUAGCAUUGGUGCUGCAGGCAAGAAUCCCCAGUUAUUUCAAAGUGCUGCACCUGUGUAAUCUGAGGGGAUGGGAAAGAUGUCUAUUCUGAGCAAGUCUCUAAUCAUGUAAUUAAACUGGAUGCUUUCUGGGGCAUGGAUCGUCUUUCUCUAUAUGUUUGUACAGCAUCUGGCAUGCCGAGUGCUCAGCCUCUUGGCCUCUGGACACUGCUGCAGUAAAGCUGUUUAAUAAUAUUCACAUGGCCAAAUUCUGAUCUCUGUUACCCCAUGUAAAUCCCUAGUGACUCUUAGUAACUUCAGUGGAGUUACUUUGGAUUUACACCAACGUCACAGUAGAGAAUUUGGCCCUUAAAGUUGAACAUGCAACCUUAACCAUGGUAUUUCCUGUCUUGUGCAGCUAUGAGAUUCUCUUACUGUUGUUUUUGUGUAAUAAUUCUGUGUAACCAAAUGUAUGCGAGAAACAAACGUGCAUUUCCUGAUGCCCAUGAGAAAUUAGUGAAUUUAACCACGAAGCUGUGCACAUCCCCUAACCGAGACACUUGUGAUGCUGCUGUAACCUGCCUUCUUCUCUGUCCUGCCCUUCUCUACUAUUUCUUACUUCCAUCUACUGCAUCCUGUCUGAAAUGAGUCCCUGAUCCUGCAAAUGGCCUCCAUGGAUUCAGGGGUUCUCUUGCACAGAUCCACUGCUUUGGGGCAGGAACCUUUGUAUUUGCUCUGGGAAGUGCCUCAUGUACUUGUGAGUGCUGAAAAAUCAUCACCCCAGGCUCCAUUCCACUGGUUUGCCAUGAGAGCUCAGUUGUACUUACCUAAAUCCAGAGACUGGAUUGUUUGGUGACACGCUGGGGAGAAGGGUUUUUAUUUUUAAUCCUAUUUUCAUAAAGUUUAGCGCAUUCCAGUCAGUUGCUGAGAAUAAUUGAACAGAGAGGAGCCAAUACUUCUUUGUUACAUAAUGAUUAUUUUUAUAACAGAGGAGUAGAUGUUUUCUCACUAAAACAAAGUCCUGUUUGUGUUGCUUAGUAGUGACUGGUUACUAUGAUCUCAUGUCUGAGCUAACUGGGCUCCUUGGGUGGUUGCUUUCUGGCCCUUUUAGGAUAUGUGGCAUAUACUGGUGGUGCUGCUGGGAUCCAGGAAGGAUGAGUCCCAGGUUCCCCUUUAUACCCGGUAUUGUUAGCUGCCCCACUUUCUCUUCUGGAUGCUUACAGCCAGAUUCUGUUCUGCACUUUUCAGGAGAUAACGCACAUAUGCCAUGGCCCAGGA